This 484-nucleotide ribosomal RNA is filed under the name uncultured bacterium. Its description in RNAcentral is "partial 16S ribosomal RNA". It matches the Rfam family "Bacterial small subunit ribosomal RNA", at positions 28 to 507 of the family's 1533-position model. The record is from RNAcentral.
AUUGAUCGCUGGCGGCAUGCUUUACACAUGCAUGUCGAACGGCAUCGCGGGCUUCGGCCUGGCUGCGAGUGGCGAACGGGUGAGUAAUGCAUCGGAACGUGCCCAGGAGUGGGGGAUAGCCCGGCGAAAGCCGGAUUAAUACCGCAUACGACCUGUGGGUGAAAGCGUGUGACCGAAAGGCCUCGCGCUAUUGCAGCUGCCGAUGUCGGAUUAGCUAGUUGGUGGGGUAAAGGCUUACCAAGGCGACGAUCCGUAGCUGGUCUGAGAGGACGACCAGCCACACUGGGACUGAGACACGGCCCAGACUCCUACGGGAGGCAGCAGUGGGGAAUUUUGGACAAUGGGGGCAACCCUGAUCCAGCCAUGCCGCGUGCGGGAAGAAGGCCUUCGGGUUGUAAACCGCUUUUGUUCGGGAAGAAAUCCUCUGGGCUAAUACCCCGGGGGGAUGACGGUACCGGAAGAAUAAGCACCGGCUAACUACGUG